GACGAACGCUGGCGGCGUGCUUAACACAUGCAAGUCGAACGGAAAGGCCCUGCUUUUGUGGGGUGCUCGAGUGGCGAACGGGUGAGUAACACGUGAGUAACCUGCCCUUGACUUUGGGAUAACUUCAGGAAACUGGGGCUAAUACCGGAUAGGAGCUCCUGCUGCAUGGUGGGGGUUGGAAAGUUUCGGCGGUUGGGGAUGGACUCGCGGCUUAUCAGCUUGUUGGUGGGGUAGUGGCUUACCAAGGCUUUGACGGGUAGCCGGCCUGGGAGGGUGACCGGCCACAUGGGGACUGAGAUACGGCCCAGACUCCGACGGGAGGCAGCAGUGGGGAAUAUUGCACAAUGGGCGGAAGCCUGAUGCAGCAACGCCGCGUGCGGGAUGACGGCCUUCGGGUUGUAAACCGCUUUCGCCUGUGACGAAGCGUGAGUGACGGUAAUGGGUAAAGAAGCACCGGCUAACUACGUG
RNAcentral lists this ribosomal RNA (468 nucleotides) under uncultured bacterium. RNAcentral's name for it is "partial 16S ribosomal RNA". It matches the Rfam family "Bacterial small subunit ribosomal RNA", at positions 28 to 507 of the family's 1533-position model. The record is from RNAcentral.